Molecule: unclassified non-coding RNA, 238 nt
Filed under: uncultured Devriesia
Lineage: Eukaryota; Fungi; Ascomycota; Dothideomycetes; Mycosphaerellales; Teratosphaeriaceae
Description: sequence contains ITS2
Source: RNAcentral
AACGCACAUUGCGCCCUUUGGCAUUCCGAAGGGCAUGCCCGUUCGAGCGUCAUUACACCCCUCAAGCCUGGCUUGGUAUUGGGCGACGGCAGUCUGCCGCGCCUCGAAGUGAUCGGCUGGACGGUUUGAAUCUCAGCGUUGUGGUUUCAUCAAUUCGCUGGCGAGGAUGACCGGACGCGCCGUUAAACCUCAAUCACAGGUUGACCUCGGAUCGGGUAGGGAUACCCGCUGAACUUAA